UAUUGCAAAUGGAGUAUGUCCAGUCUUUUUUUAGUAACCACUUAGUCACAAACACUGGCCAAAACUGACGUCCAAAUUAGUUUUUUGCAUUUUUAAAUAUUAACACUAACUUUGGCCAGUGUUUGUGACCAAGUGGCUACUAAAAAAGACUGGGCAUACCCCAUUUGCAAUA
Pelobates cultripes (western spadefoot toad) is the source of this 172-nucleotide non-coding RNA. Lineage: Eukaryota; Metazoa; Chordata; Amphibia; Anura; Pelobatidae. The record is from the annotation of a GenBank genome assembly.